AUUCCAGGGCUAUGCAGACCAAAAUAGCACCUCCUAAGUAAUCUGGACCAAGCCAGGGAGACCAGCACUUGCCCUUGGGUCACAGCCAGUGCAAAAGCUGAUGGCAAGAGAGAGCUUGACACAUAGCAGGCCUCCUCUACACCUAGCUCCAUGGAGUUACAAAGCUCUGCCUCAGCUCACAGCACCAGCUGAGGGAGGUGGAAAAUGCGUCAAAACACAAGUAUCCAGAAGAUCCCUCACACUUGCGUGAGAGUUCAAGGUCUGCCACACUUCAGGAGCCAUGACAGCUGUCUAUCUGAAACUUUCACCAGUAGGAGAAACCUCAUCAGAGACACAGGCUACAGCUAUGACAAAGCACUGAUGAGCCCAGCUAGAGGAACCCCGUAUGCGCGGCACUGAUGCACUUCUUUGGCCUGAGAGGCAAAAUGAGAAUCCCUGAGUCCGAAGACUGGUGAUGGUCUAAACUGUAGAGUGCAUCAGAUUCAUUUGGAGGGCUGGCUGGAACAUCAAAUUGCUGGGUCUCACCUCAGAGUGUCAUCAGAUGGAAACAGAUUCAGAGACUUAUAGCCAGUCAUCAGGCAGAGUUCGAAUCUUAUGGAAGAGUCAAAGAUACCACAAGAAGAUCUACAGAGUAAGCUAUGGACCCAUGGGAGUUCACAGAGACUGAACCACCAACUAAAGAGCAUGCGGGGGCUGGACCUAGGCCCCCUACACAUUUGUAGUGGAUGUGCAGCUUGGUUUUCAUGUGGGUUCCCUAACAACUGGAGUGGUCUCUGACUCCGGUGGAGACUAACAAAGCUGAGAAAGAUAUGCUGGGUGUCCCAAUUUUAAUGUAGAAAUUAAGCUUUAGUGAGCCAUCAUUCUGGUUCUAAUGCUAAUGAGUCCUAGAGGAAGUUUAAACACCCAUCAGACAUCUCCUCACUGUGCCAGAGAAGGUCCCUUGGCCCCCAGUCUACUUCUACACUUCCAGCCACAGGCUUUUUUUUUUUCACCAGAGUGAAUGCAACUCAGAUUUUGAUUAAUAUGUAAAUAAGCCCCUGCUGUUUCCAAAGACCUUGUACGUUUCCUCCCGCCCCCGUUAUACCACAAGUCUCAAGCUCGGCAGAUCUUUAAUAACUAUAAUUAAAUUGUUGAGCUAUAAUCAAGGAACAUAAUUUCAAAACAAAAUCGUUGCAUUCACAUUCCCAGCAUCCUGCUGAAGGGAAAUGGUAGAGAAAGCACCUUAUAUUCUGGCCAGGGAAGAGAGCUCGGUGAAGAAGCAUGGGAAGAACAGCUUCAUGCUUCACACCCAGAUGCAGACCCAGAAGCCCCUGCUGGCUCCCUGCUGACUUGGACCUAGGCCUUUCCAAGGAGGGGCCACUUGGAUCGAGUCCUUUGCCAAGUCUGAGGUUCAGGUGCAGUGGUAAGGGGUGAGAACACAUCUCCCUGAAGCCCCUCCAGCCCCCCACAUCUCCAGACCGUCCUGAAGAACACCGUAAGCAAAGGCCGGAUGCUGUGUUGAGCUACAGUGAGUUUUGUCCAGGAUUCCUGUUUUCUAGGGGGUGGUGACUGCCUUCCAGGGGCUUAGAGAGGAAAGGCUAAAGACUCCUGUCAUGCUGAGAAUUCCAGACUUGCGACUGCCUGCAGUGGGAGCCACCACAGACCCUGGAUGACAGAGAUAAUCUCAUCAUUGAACUCCAGGCUGAGGACCAAAUAAGGAGCAGACCUCUAGACUUGCGAUUUCUGCCGGGCCUCUUGGUGUUACAGCAGCCCACCCCGUCUCUCUGAUGACAGACAAGUCUUUGCCAGCUGUCUGGGUCAUCCAACAUGCACCGUGUCUUCAAUACAUAAAUGCCUACAGAUGCCAAGGAAAGUCUCUCCUGAAUCAAGAGCGACCGGUUCUCUGCACAGGGUGGAGCCUAUGUUCCAUGUGUCUGAGAACAAGAUGAACCUACCCUGACCUUCCCCAUGGGCCUCAACAAGUGGGAAGAAACCAUGAUGAACAGAAGAAUCUUCACUCUGGGGGCAGAACAUUGCUUCACCGCUAAGCUGGUUUACCCUCUGGGCUCUGGGAUGACCUGAAUGUAUUACAGUAUCAGGGGUUCACCUGACAGACCCCAUCUUCCUACCUCACCACCAACACCGACCAACAAGACCUCAGGAACAGAGACUGUGUUAAAUGAGAGAAGUGACUGGAUGAGGACGUAAAUCAUUCCCACUUUUCUAGAUGGGAAAAACUAAACUGUGGGGCAGUGGACCAUGAGACGAAGCCUGGUCCUCGGUUGAACCCAACAAUGGCUGCCAAUGUGCUCGAGAGGUAGCCAGGCAACCUAUGAGAUUAGACUUCUCAGCAGUUCAAAGCUAAAGACUUACAAGUUCCCGGAGAGCUUCUUGCAUCAUGCCAAUAUUGAAAGGCUGGAGAAGCAGGAGUCUGAUGCUGGAAGGUAAAGGCAGUUUCAAGAAACACCUUCACUCAGAUGGAGUCUUGCUGCCUUCCUCUGAUUUCAUCUGUUGGAAGAUUCUAUCUAAACCACACUGGGUCUCUCCCAGCUUGGUCAUUGUUCAGUCAUCAAUCUUUUCUGGAAUAUCUCUGUAGAUACAUAGUUACAUUUCACCAUCCCUGGACUGUUUUCAUCAAAUCAAGUUGACAGCCAAGACCUAUGAUUACAGACUGGGACCUAACAAACCUGAAUUCUUUCUCUCUAUGAGUGUUUGGAUGGUGUGGGAAAAGAAAGGAAAAACUCUGUUUCAUUAAAAAUAGAUAUAGAAUGACAGCUAAUCUUGAGUAUCAAUUUUAUCAGAUUAAGAAAUGACAAGGAGAUUAUAAAGUGCACCUUUGGGGUGUGUCCGUGAUGCUGUUUUCAGAGACAGGUCAUGAGGGUGCCAAGACGUGGCAGGAUUAAUCUCUUGAUGUAGUCAUAAUAUGAUGGCACUAUUGGAAAGUGUCAAAAGUCAGGAGAUGGGGUGUAACUGGAUGAAGUGGGUCAUUGGUGCGUUUGCUACGGCUGUAUCUCACCUGUGCAUCUUCUGUAUUCACCCUUGCACUGGCUCCUGGCUUCUAUGAUGAAAACCGUUCUCUCUGUCAUGCCCUCCCUGCUGUGACAAUACCUGUAAAACUACGAACCCAAAUAAAGAAUUCCUCCUUUAAGCCAUUUUCAGGUAAUUUUGGUGACAGCGUCACAAAGCUAAGGAAGAAGAGAACUAAUCGAAGAGCCAUUAAGCUUUCCAGCUCUGGGAGCAAGCAGUGAAGAAAUGUCAGGAUUUCAGAGGGUCCUUCAAGCAUGCACUGAGAAUAAUUAGCCAGCUUGUUGAUGAUUUUAUAGUCUAAGGUUCUUCACUGUAUAAGCUUCCUUGCACAGUUAGUUAGUCAACUACAAAAUCCGUACUUGGAAGGCAUGCAGAAGUGCAGAAGCCAAUGGAAACCUGUCUGCCAAUACUGGAGUAUAUUAAAUUGAUCUUCACCAA
This is a long non-coding RNA of Mastomys coucha (southern multimammate mouse), 3444 nucleotides long. RefSeq lists it as uncharacterized. The record is from RefSeq and is a predicted model, not a curated record. Lineage: Eukaryota; Metazoa; Chordata; Mammalia; Rodentia; Muridae. The transcript has 4 exons.